Molecule: long non-coding RNA, 387 nt
Filed under: Solanum tuberosum (potato)
Lineage: Eukaryota; Viridiplantae; Streptophyta; Magnoliopsida; Solanales; Solanaceae
Description: long non-coding RNA (STUB_LNC009322)
Source: RNAcentral
UGUUGGUAUGCCGAAAAAAUUAAGUUCCUUAAAAAUGAGAAAAUGACCUUGUUAAUGAAAAUAGGGGAAAACAAGCUCCAUAAGUAAUAUUUCAAAUUUUUAUUUAUUUGCUUGACCACCCUAUCCCUGUCAUUGCUAUAUUACAUAUAAAUAUUUUUGAGAUAUAAGUAUUGUUUUACUUACUUAUCAAACACUAGAAAAUAAGUAAGAAAACUACUUAUUUUUCAAAAAAGAAUAUUCAAUGGCAAAUAUUUUUCCUUUGUAUUAAACACACCCAUCAGUUAUAAGUUUUAUCCUCCCUCCGUCCGAAUUUAUGUGUCACUUUUUGAAUUUCAACACUCAAACAAAUUAUCUUUGACCAUAGUUUUUUCUAUAUAUUUUAUAAAU